GAUGAACGCUGGCGGCGUGCCUAAUACAUGCAGGUCGAGCGAACGGACGAGAAGCUUGCUUCUCUGAUGUUAGCGGCGGACGGGUGAGUAACACGUGGAUAACCUACCUAUAAGACUGGGAUAACUUCGGGAAACCGGAGCUAAUACCGGAUAAUAUUUUGAACCGCAUGGUUCAAAAGUGAAAGACGGUCUUGCUGUCACUUAUAGAUGGAUCCGCGCUGCAUUAGCUAGUUGGUAAGGUAACGGCUUACCAAGGCAACGAUGCAUAGCCGACCUGAGAGGGUGAUCGGCCACACUGGAACUGAGACACGGUCCAGACUCCUACGGGAGGCAGCAGUAGGGAAUCUUCCGCAAUGGGCGAAAGCCUGACGGAUCAACGCCGCGUGAGUGAUGAAGGUCUUCGGGUCGUAAAACUCUGUUAUUAGGGAAGAACAUAUGUGUAAGUAACUGUGCACAUCUUGACGGUACCUAAUCAGAAAGCCACGGCUAACUACGUG
RNAcentral lists this ribosomal RNA (497 nucleotides) under uncultured bacterium. RNAcentral's name for it is "partial 16S ribosomal RNA". It matches the Rfam family "Bacterial small subunit ribosomal RNA", at positions 28 to 507 of the family's 1533-position model. The record is from RNAcentral.